RNAcentral lists this ribosomal RNA (253 nucleotides) under uncultured bacterium. Its description in RNAcentral is "partial 16S ribosomal RNA". It matches the Rfam family "Bacterial small subunit ribosomal RNA", at positions 524 to 776 of the family's 1533-position model. The record is from RNAcentral.
UACGGAGGGGGCUAGCGUUGUUCGGAAUUACUGGGCGUAAAGCGCACGUAGGCGGCUUUGUAAGUUAGAGGUGAAAGCCCGGAGCUCAACUCCGGAAUUGCCUUUAAGACUGCAUCGCUAGAAUUGUGGAGAGGUGAGUGGAAUUCCGAGUGUAGAGGUGAAAUUCGUAGAUAUUGGGAAGAACACCGAUGGCGAAGGCAGCCAUCUGGACCGACACUGACGCUGAGGCGCGAAAGCGUGGGGAGCAAACAGG